Molecule: transfer RNA, 73 nt
Filed under: Monodelphis domestica (gray short-tailed opossum)
Lineage: Eukaryota; Metazoa; Chordata; Mammalia; Didelphimorphia; Didelphidae
Rfam family: tRNA
About the family: Transfer RNA (tRNA) molecules are approximately 80 nucleotides in length.
Source: Rfam by way of RNAcentral
UCAGCUUUGGUGCAGUAGGUAGCGCAUCAGUCUCGCAAGCUGACGGUCCCAAGUUCGAUCCUCAGAAGCAGGG